UACGGGGGUUGCGAGCGUUGUCCGGAAUUACUAGGCGUAAAGGGCAGGCAGGCGGAUCCAUAAGUUUAUCGUUUAAGGCGUCGGCUUAACCGGCGUAGGGCGGUAGAUACUGUGGAUCUGGAAUGCGGUUGGGGAAGACAGAAUUCCUGGUGUAGCGGUGGAAUGCGCAGAGAUCAGGAGGAAUACCGAAGGCGAAGGCAGUCUUCCAAGCCGUUAUUGACGCUCAACUGCGAAGGUGUGGGUAUCAAACAGGAUUAGAUACCCGUGUAGUCCCUGA
This 277-nucleotide ribosomal RNA is filed under the name uncultured prokaryote. RNAcentral describes it as "partial 16S ribosomal RNA". It matches the Rfam family "Bacterial small subunit ribosomal RNA", at positions 524 to 800 of the family's 1533-position model. The record is from RNAcentral.